Molecule: unclassified non-coding RNA, 201 nt
Filed under: Leuconostoc gasicomitatum
Lineage: Bacteria; Bacillati; Bacillota; Bacilli; Lactobacillales; Lactobacillaceae
Description: Leuconostoc gelidum subsp. gasicomitatum T-box
Source: RNAcentral
AAAUUAGCAAUUAUUGAGUAGAAUAAACAUUCGGCGUUAAGAGAAGCAGUGGUUGGUGAAAACUGCACAGGUGUUGAUAUUCGAAAUACAGCUAUCGAUUUAAGCAUGGCAGCACCAUGUUAUCAAAUGUCAAAGUGAUGUGCUUUUUAGCGCGUAAGCUGGGUGGUACCACGGAUUUUUAAAUGUCAAUUCGUCCCUGUU